GGCCAUUCUCCAUUGGCUCAGCCGGGCUCCAAAGUGUCUCGGCCAUGGGAACCUGCUGGGAUCCUCCAGAAUUCUGUGCCACUGCCCACUCAGAUCCUUAUGCACACCCAAUUCUGCAUGGGCUAGGGCUCCCAGUCACCAACCCCAUCCAAAAGCGGGGUCCCUGCCAGGGGAUCGGCAAGGCUUGGUGCCCACCGUGUCAUCCAACAGCGCACUCCAUCACUGAUAACCCAGAAUUGUGAAAAAGAUCCAAUUCCUGAGCCCUAAAGAUCUGUCAAGUCGUUUCAUAGGCUACAUUAAGACUUGCUUCUUUAACUUGAAAUUCACGUCUUCUUUUCUCAAGCCCAUAGCACUGAGUGCCCUAAAUUAAAUAGGUUCUUGGAAAGGGCUGUUGAUGAAUACAACUGCUGAUUGCCCCUGGGAGAAGAGCAGGAAUCGCCCAAGAUCCAGGACCUUGCAUGGAGAGAAGCCGAGAUCUGCUACUGCUCAAGCCAGGUACUCUUACAAACGUCACUUUACAGAUGAAGAAAUGGAGGUUUAACUACUAUCCCCCAGGUCAUGCGGCUGUCGGACCCUGAAGCAGAGAUUUGUAUCCAAGGG
This is a long non-coding RNA of Choloepus didactylus (southern two-toed sloth), 600 nucleotides long. RefSeq lists it as uncharacterized. The transcript is spliced from 4 exons. The record is from RefSeq and is a predicted model, not a curated record. Lineage: Eukaryota; Metazoa; Chordata; Mammalia; Pilosa; Megalonychidae.